AACGAACGCUGGCGGCAUGCCUAACACAUGCAAGUCGAACGAGAUCUUCGGGUCUAGUGGCGCACGGGUGCGUAACGCGUGGGAAUCUGCCCUUUGGUUCGGAAUAACAGUUGGAAACGACUGCUAAUACCGGAUGAUGACGAAAGUCCAAAGAUUUAUCGCCAGAGGAUGAGCCCGCGUAGGAUUAGCUAGUUGGUGUGGUAAAGGCGCACCAAGGCGACGAUCCUUAGCUGGUCUGAGAGGAUGAUCAGCCACACUGGGACUGAGACACGGCCCAGACUCCUACGGGAGGCAGCAGUGGGGAAUAUUGGACAAUGGGCGAAAGCCUGAUCCAGCAAUGCCGCGUGAGUGAUGCAGGCCUUAGGGUUGUAAAGCUCUUUUACCCGGGAUGAAAAUGACAGUACCGGGAGAAUAAGCUCCGGCUAACUCCGUGCCAGCCGCCGCGGUAA
This 449-nucleotide ribosomal RNA is filed under the name uncultured bacterium. Its description in RNAcentral is "partial 16S ribosomal RNA". It matches the Rfam family "Bacterial small subunit ribosomal RNA", at positions 29 to 523 of the family's 1533-position model. The record is from RNAcentral.